RNAcentral lists this ribosomal RNA (676 nucleotides) under Burkholderia cepacia. Its description in RNAcentral is "bacterial SSU rRNA". It matches the Rfam family "Bacterial small subunit ribosomal RNA", at positions 79 to 751 of the family's 1533-position model. Lineage: Bacteria; Pseudomonadati; Pseudomonadota; Betaproteobacteria; Burkholderiales; Burkholderiaceae. The record is from RNAcentral.
CUUGCUCCUGGAUUCAGCGGCGGACGGGUGAGUAAUGCCUAGGAAUCUGCCUGGUAGUGGGGGACAACGUUUCGAAAGGAACGCUAAUACCGCAUACGUCCUACGGGAGAAAGCAGGGGACCUUCGGGCCUUGCGCUAUCAGAUGAGCCUAGGUCGGAUUAGCUAGUUGGUGAGGUAAUGGCUCACCAAGGCGACGAUCCGUAACUGGUCUGAGAGGAUGAUCAGUCACACUGGAACUGAGACACGGUCCAGACUCCUACGGGAGGCAGCAGUGGGGAAUAUUGGACAAUGGGCGAAAGCCUGAUCCAGCCAUGCCGCGUGUGUGAAGAAGGUCUUCGGAUUGUAAAGCACUUUAAGUUGGGAGGAAGGGUUGUAGAUUAAUACUCUGCAAUUUUGACGUUACCGACAGAAUAAGCACCGGCUAACUCUGUGCCAGCAGCCGCGGUAAUACAGAGGGUGCAAGCGUUAAUCGGAAUUACUGGGCGUAAAGCGCGCGUAGGUGGUUCGUUAAGUUGGAUGUGAAAUCCCCGGGCUCAACCUGGGAACUGCAUCCAAAACUGGCGAGCUAGAGUAUGGUAGAGGGUGGUGGAAUUUCCUGUGUAGCGGUGAAAUGCGUAGAUAUAGGAAGGAACACCAGUGGCGAAGGCGACCACCUGGACUGAUACUGACACUGACG